AAGAUGGUCAUCUUGUGCUCAAGCAAACAGAAGUCCUCUGAUGGUCUCAUCAGCCAAAUGAGGGGUUUUGACCAAGUGAUGCUCUUGAAAGGAGUGAAAGAAGAGGAUGUGGUAAAUUGUCUUCAGAGAAAAAGCUUCUCAAAAGAUCUUAAAACAGCUUGAAGAAUGGUCUAGGAUCUUAGGACUGAGAGAUCUCACUGGCACCCAGUUAACCUUCAUAGAGAACAUUUAUCAGAAGCGCUGUCUGGGUAGGGCAAGAAACAUCAUCAAGGAUGCCUCUCACCCUAACCAUGGACUUUUCACCCUCCUUCCAUCCGGCAGGCGUUACAGGAGCCUACGCUCUCGAACUAGUAGGCUCAGGAAGAGCUUCUUCCCCGAGGCUGUGACACUCCUGAACACCGCACCACCAAUCUAACCUGCACCUGCUCUUUUACUGCACUGGUCACAGUACUUUACAUACAUGUAUUGCACUACUCAUAUUUUG
This 484-nucleotide long non-coding RNA is filed under the name Carassius auratus (goldfish). RNAcentral describes it as "lncRNA (ENSCARG00000041402.1)". The record is from RNAcentral. Lineage: Eukaryota; Metazoa; Chordata; Actinopteri; Cypriniformes; Cyprinidae.